Molecule: ribosomal RNA, 447 nt
Filed under: uncultured bacterium
Lineage: Bacteria
Description: bacterial SSU rRNA
Rfam family: Bacterial small subunit ribosomal RNA
Source: RNAcentral
CCAGACUCCUACGGGAGGCAGCAGUGGGGAAUAUUGGGCAAUGGGCGCAAGCCUGACCCAGCAACGCCGCGUGAAGGAAGAAGGCUUUCGGGUUGUAAACUUCUUUUAUGAGGGACGAAAGAAAUGACGGUACCUCAUGAAUAAGCCACGGCUAACUACGUGCCAGCAGCCGCGGUAAUACGUAGGUGGCAAGCGUUAUCCGGAUUUACUGGGUGUAAAGGGCGUGUAGGCGGGACUGCAAGUCAGAUGUGAAAAUUAUGGGCUCAACCCAUAACCUGCAUUUGAAACUGUAGUUCUUGAGUGAUGGAGAGGCAGGCGGAAUUCCGUGUGUAGCGGUGAAAUGCGUAGAUAUACGGAGGAACACCAGUGGCGAAGGCGGCCUGCUGGACAUUAACUGACGCUGAGGCGCGAAAGCGUGGGGAGCAAACAGGAUUAGAUACCCGAGUA